RNAcentral lists this unclassified non-coding RNA (2270 nucleotides) under Daphnia pulicaria. RNAcentral's name for it is "high mobility group protein 20A-like, transcript variant X4". Lineage: Eukaryota; Metazoa; Arthropoda; Branchiopoda; Diplostraca; Daphniidae. The record is from RNAcentral.
GAGGGUUCUGAAGUCCAGGCAUACGCUGUGAUACGCUGCUUGCUUGCUUGGCUUUUUCUUGUUCGACCUCGCCUCGUGUUGCCUUUCGUGGUCGGAAUUUUUACCCUCCGAAUUUAGACAAUUUAUCUGAAAUCUCGGCCUUUUUCUGAUCUACAUGCAUUACUCUUCGAGGUAUAAGUAAUGGAAGGUCAUCACCAGCAGUCUAAUGCAACCAAUAUGCACCAGCAGCACACAAAUCCAGAACCAACCACUAAAAAUCGUAGUGCAGGAGGAGGAGGUGCAGGCAAAACAAGUAAAAAGAGGAAAAGGAAUCAAGAUCUUGGUCCAGGAGCCCCUCGUCAACCUGUUAAUGGUUAUGUACGGUUCCUAAACGAAAGAAGAGAACAAGUACGAGCUGCCAAUCCAAGUGCAGGUUUUGCUGAUAUUAUGAAAAUAAUGGCCCAAGAAUGGACUCAACUACCUGCUGAGGAAAAACAAAAAUAUAUGCAAGCUGCUGAACAGGACCGUCAACGCUAUCAAAAAGAAUUGCAAGAAUAUCAACAGACAGAAGCUUACAAAAGCUAUGUUCAACAGCAACAACAGCAACAUGUUCAACAACAAUUACAUUUGCAACAACAACAAAGACAAGCUAUGCAAGCUACUCAUCAAUCUCAGUCACAGCAACAACCGGCGGCACAUUCAUCUCACAGCCAAGUCCAGGCUCAGCCAUACAUUCAACAAAUCCAGAGUUACAACCCCCAGUUGCAUAUUGUCCAACAUAUGCAGCCAGGGCAACAUCAACAGCAUGGCGAUAGAAGUAACAAUGCCGCUGGUCACCGUCCUGAUGGGUCAGGAAAUCAAGUCGGUGUGUUCGACAUUCCCAUCUUCACGGAAGAAUUUCUCGAUCACAACAAAGUCCGAGAAACAGAGCUGCGGCAGCUGCGGAAAGCUUCAGCCGAGUACGAGGAGCAGAAUAGCGCCCUGCGGAAGCACGUCGAGACUCUUCAAGCGGCCGUCAGUCGACUGGAAGCGGAAACAGAGCAGCAGCGACGACACAGCGCCGCGCUACAGCAUCACCUCGACAGCCUGCGCGAUGUGCUGGCCAACAGUUUUGCCCAUUUGCCCCUUCCAGGUUAUAAUGAGACUCCGACGUCACAAACGGUGGAUAACUACAUGGCCCAUUUGCGCUCCAUAAUCCAGGAAGGAUCGCCUGAAAAUGCUGGAUUGAUUGCCGCCGCUCGCGAUAUCAUAUCGCGUCUGAAUUAUUCCGCCUAAUAUCUUCUGAUUUGACUACGACCCGCCACACUGACAGUUUUCUCUUCCUCUUCCGCAAGAAAAAUCUAUCACACGCGGUUGGACUCGACGUUUGGGAUUCUUCUGGAUCCUAGCUAGCUUUCACGAAUUCUCUGCGGCAACUUUGUUUUCUUUUUAAAUUUUGAUUUCCCGCAUAGAUCAACGUUUUGUUGUGAGAGUACAAAUAGUAGCGCGACUGGUACCCCCUUGUCCCAUUCUUCUUUCUCUUAUACAACGUAGAUCGAUUCCAAACUCUUAAAAAAAACUUACAAUGAGACUUCUUCUUUGCCUGCGUGCUUACAGUGAACAUCCUGCUCGUUCACCCUUACCUUCGUAUCACGAGUAUUCUACCUGGUUGUAUGAUUUGUGUGCUUGUUUCCCCUACUACUCCCCCAUUACUACGAAAUUCAGACUGAACAAAAUCGGACAUAUUUCUCUCCCUCGAAUCUUCCUUUUUUUCCUGUAAAGCCUCAUUUGUAAUCCUUUCCGCAGUUUUUUUUAUGUUGAGCGAUUUUUAAAUUUUUUCUUUCUUUUUCGUCUGUAGAAAAAUGAUACUGAAAAUCGGUAGGAAGGAAAAGUUCCGAGUGCUUCGGAACCAGUCUGUCUAAAAGAAGAUAACAAAAACACACUAUAUACCUAGCAAUACGACAUUCAUGAAAACGCGACUAGAUAUACAAAAUUAAAAACAAAACGAAAUUUAGCUGACUGGUUUCGAGUGAAUUUAGAGCUGUCACUAUGAAAAAGAGGAAAGUUUGAUUGAAAAUUGUGUGCCAUGGGUCAUCCUAAAAAGAUCACGCUAGCUCUUUGAAAGGCUCUUGUUUUUUUGCUCGUUUCGUUCCCCCUCCCUACCCCCUCCUUUUAAUUAAAUGCAUAUUGCCGUUAUGUUGAAGUGCUGAUCCCAAGUGAUGAAAUUCUUGCGACCUGUCCGCUCGUCCGAUUUUGUCUUUUGGUUUGCUUCCAUCUCGCCCUGAUAUUAUUAGAUGAUGAAUUUGGUUGAG